AAGCGUGCGCAGGCGGUUUGUUAAGACAGGUGUGAAUUCCCCGGGGCUUAACCUGGAAAUUGCGCUUGUAACUGGCAAGCUAGAGUGUGGCAGAGGGGGGGUGGAAUUCCACGUGUAGCAGUGAAAUGCGUAGAUAUGUGGAGGAACACCGAUGGCGAAGGCAGCCCCCUGGGUUAACACUGACGCUCAGGCACGAAAGCGUGGGGAGCAAACAGGAUUAGAUACCCUGGUAGUCCACGCCCUAAACUAUGUCAACUAGUUGUCGGGGAAGAAAUUCCUUGGUAACGAAGCUAACGCGUGAAGUUGACCGCCUGGGGAGUACGGCCGCAAGGUUAAAACUCAAAGGAAUUGACGGGGACCCGCACAAGCGGUGGAUUAUGUGGAUUAAUUCGAUGCAACGCGAAAAACCUUACCUACCCUUGACAUGCUAGGAAGUCCGCAGAGAUGUGGACGUGCCCGAAAGGGAACCUAGACACAGGUGCUGCAUGGCUGUCGUCAGCUCGUGUCGUGAGAUGUUGGGUUAAGUCCCGCAACGAGCGCAACCCUUGUCAUUAGUUGCUACGUAAGGGCACUCUAAUGAGACUGCCGGUGACAAACCGGAGGAAGGUGGGGAUGACGUCAGGUCAUCAUGGCCCUUAUGGGUAGGGCUACACACGUCAUACAAUGGCCGGUACAGAGGGCUGCCAACCCGCGAGGGGGAGCCAAUCCCAGAAAACCGGUCGUAGUCCGGAUCGCAGUCUGCAACUCGACUGCGUGAAGUCGGAAUCGCUAGUAAUCGCGGAUCAGCUUGCCGCGGUGAAUACGUUCCCGGGUCUUGUACACACCGCCCGUCACACCAUGGGAGCGGGUUCUGCCAGAAGUAGUUAGCCUAACCGCAAGGGGGGCGAUUACCACGGCAG
Molecule: ribosomal RNA, 899 nt
Filed under: uncultured bacterium
Lineage: Bacteria
Description: bacterial SSU rRNA
Rfam family: Bacterial small subunit ribosomal RNA
Source: RNAcentral